UGAUUUAUACUAUGAUAUAUAGUAUAUAAAUUAAGAAGGUUAUUGAAGAGCACUUUAUGGAUGCCUUGAUAUUAAGUAUUGGACGUAAAAAUGACGAAAUGAUGUGUUGAUGAACUUUUCAAAUGAUGCACAUCCUUCCAUAAGAGGGGAACCUCUAAAGUAAAAACCUAGAGAACUGAAACAUCUUAGUACCUAGUGGAAAAUAAAUCAACCGAGAUUGCGUAAGUAGCAGCGAGUGAAAGCGUAAUAGGCUUAAUAAUCACUAUUUGAAGUAUAAUACUGUUGGAAUACAGAGCAAGACAGAGUGAAAGCCUCGUUUACGAGAAGAAUAGUGUAUACAUGUAGUAAAUCUGGACACAUAUAAUCUAGAUUGAAGAUAGGUGGACUCCCAUCUAAGCCUAAAUAUUACUUAAUAAUCUAUAGUGAAUAAGUACUGUGAAGGAAACGGUGAAAAGACUCAAAUCGAAUUGAAAAGAUUCUGAAGUAGGGUGCUUACAAGCAGUCAGAGUUAUACAUAUAAUGUAUGAUUAUGAUGUACCUUUUGCAUAAUGGAUUAGCGAGUUUAUUUAUAUUGCAAGCUUAAUUUAACAUAAGUAGGCAUAGAGAAAUCGAAUUUUAAAAGAUUAAAGUAAUAUGAAUAAUGACCCGAAAUCGAGUGAUCUAACCAUGAGCAGGUUGAAGAUGUGAUAAAACACCUUGGAGGACCGAACUCUUGUAUGUUGCAAUAUACUGGGAUGACUUGUGGUUAGGAGUGAAAGGCUAAUCAAACUCGAAGAUAGCUGGUUUUCUGUGAAAUCUAUUUAAGUAGAGCGUUAUUUAUUAAUAUGUCAAGGUAGAGCACUUAAUGAGAUAGGGGGACAUGAAAAUCUUACCAACCUCAAAAAAACUCCGAAUUGGAUAACAUUAUGAAUAACAGUCAGACAAUGGGUGCUAAGAUCCAUAGUCGAGAGGGAAACAGCCCUGACUAUUAGCUAAGGUCCCUAAAUAAUAACUAAGUGUAAAGGAUAUGAGAUAGUUAAUACAACCAAGAAGUUAGCUUGGAAGCAGCUACCUUUUAAAGAAAGCGUAACAGCUCAUUGGUCUAGGCUACCUUGUACCAAAAAUGUAUAGGGUCUAAAGUUAUUUACCGAUGCUAUAGAAGUAAAAUUACUACUUGGUAACAGAACGUUCUGUAUAUUUGAGAAGAUUAAUUGUUAGAUUAAUUGGAGAUAUCAGAAGUGAAUAUGCUAAUAUGAGUAGCGUAAAACAAUAAAUCAUUGUCGCCGUAAAUUCAAGGUUUUCUUCCGUAAAGACUAACUACGAAGAAGUUAGCCGGCCCCUAAGAUAUAAGCGAUAGCUAAAAAUUGAUGGGAAUAUAGUUUAAUAUUCUAUAGCCAGCUUUUUAAUGACGGAUUGUUAAGUAUAAUCUAAAAUAAUUGGAUUCAUUUAGUUAUAUGAAACAGUCACGGGAAAUAGUUAAGUAUUAGACCGUACCGAAAACCGACUCAGGUGAAUUGGUAGAGAAUACUAAGGCGAUUGAGAGAAUAAUGUUGAAGGAACUCGGCAAAAUAAUUCCGUAACUUAGGGAGAAGGAAUGCCUUCGGGUGUAAUAUAAUAGAGGGAAGCGACUGUUUAACAAAAACACAAGACUCUGCAAAGUCGAAAGACGAAGUAUAGGGUCUGACGUCUGCCCAGUGUUAAUCUAUAAUGUGAGAUGCAACUGCAUCAAGCGGAAAUAUUAAUAAACGGCGGCUGUAACCAUAACGGUCCAAAGGUAGCAAAAUUCCUUGUCAGGUAAGUUCUGACCCGCAUGAAUGACGUAACGACUUCCUUGCUGUCUCCAACAUUAUCUCAGCGAAAUUGAAUUCUCCGUGAAGAUGCGGAGUUCCAGCGGCUAGACGGAAAGACCCCGUGCACCUUUACUAUAGUUAUAUAUUGUUACUAGGUUUUAGAUGUGUAGGAUAAGUGGUAGCUUAUGAAUCCUCAACGUUAGUUGAUAGAGAAGCACUCUUGAAAUACCACUCUUCUAAUUACCUGUAACUAAUUGAAGAUAUUAUUUAUAUUUUUAUGACCAUGUAUAAGCGGUAGUUUGACUGGGGCGGUCGCCUCCUAAAUAGUAACGGAGGCGUACAAAGGUAGACUUUAAUUGUUCAGAAAUCAAUUAAUAAGUGUAAUGGCAAAAGUUUGCUUGACUGCAAUACUGACAAGUAGAGCAGAGACGAAAGUCGGUCAUAGUGAUCCGGUGGUUCUAAGUGGAAAGGCCAUCGCUCAACGGAUUAAAGGUACGCCGGGGAUAACAGGCUAAUGAUCUCUGAGAGUCCUUAUCGACGGGAUUGUUUGGCACCUCGAUGUCGACUCAUCAUAUCCUGAAGCUGAAGCAGGUUUCAAGGGUUCGGCUGUUCGCCGAUUAAAAUGGUACGUGAGUUGGGUUCAGAACGUCGUGAGACAGUUCGGUCCCUAUCUACCGCUGGUGUAGGAGAAUUGAUAUACGUUAACCUUAGUACGAGAGGACCAGGUUGAACAUAGCAAUAGUGUUUGAGUCAUUCUUCCAAGAGUGAUGCUCAGUAGCCAACUAUGGAUAAGAUAACUGCUGAAUGCAUAUUAAGUAGGAAUCUUGUAUAGAAACAAUUUCUCCAAAACAACUGUAGUAGACUAUUACUUAGAUAGGUUGGAUGUGUAAGGAUAGUAAUAUCUGAAGCUUACCAAUACUAAUUUGUUGUAGUAAACCUUCUUAU
This 2714-nucleotide ribosomal RNA is filed under the name Imasa heleensis. RNAcentral describes it as "large subunit ribosomal RNA". It matches the Rfam family "Bacterial large subunit ribosomal RNA". Lineage: Eukaryota; Malawimonada; Malawimonadea; Malawimonadida; Imasidae. The record is from RNAcentral.